UAAGCCGUUGAAGGUGUGUCGUGAGGCAUGCUGGAGGUAUCAGAAGUGCGAAUGCUGACAUAAGUAACGAUAAAGCGGGUGAAAAGCCCGCUCGCCGGAAGACCAAGGGUUCCUGUCCAACGUUAAUCGGGGCAGGGUGAGUCGACCCCUAAGGCGAGGCCGAAAGGCGUAGUCGAUGGGAAACGGGUUAAUAUUCCCGUACUUGGUGUUACUGCGAAGGGGGGACGGAGAAGGCUAUGUUGGCCGGGCGACGGUUGUCCCGGUUUAAGCGUGUAGGUGUGUGUUCCAGGUAAAUCCGGUUCACUUUAACACUGAGGCGUGACGACGAGGCACCACGGUGCUGAAGCAACAAAUGCCCUGCUUCCAGGAAAAGCCUCUAAGCCUCAGGUAACAUCAAAUCGUACCCCAAACCGACACAGGUGGUCAGGUAGAGAAUACCAAGGCGCUUGAGAGAACUCGGGUGAAGGAACUAGGCAAAAUGGUGCCGUAACUUCGGGAGAAGGCACGCUGACACGUAGGUGAAGUGGUUUACCCAUGGAGCUGAAGUCAGUCGAAGAUACCAGCUGGCUGCAACUGUUUAUUAAAAACACAGCACUGUGCAAACACGAAAGUGGACGUAUACGGUGUGACGCCUGCCCGGUGCCGGAAGGUUAAUUGAUGGGGUCAGCGCAAGCGAAGCUCCUGAUCGAAGCCCCGGUAAACGGCGGCCGUAACUAUAACGGUCCUAAGGUAGCGAAAUUCCUUGUCGGGUAAGUUCCGACCUGCACGAAUGGCGUAAUGAUGGCCAGGCUGUCUCCACCCGGGACUCAGUGAAAUUGAACUCGCUGUGAAGAUGCAGUGUACCCGCGGCAAGACGGAAAGACCCCGUGAACCUUUACUAUAGCUUGACACUGAACACUGGUCCUUGAUGUGCAGGAUAGGUGGGAGGCUUUGAAGUGUGGACGCCAGUCUGCAUGGAGCCAUCCUUGAAAUACCACCCUUUAAUGGCUGGUGUUCUAACGUGGGCCCGUGAACCGGGUUGCGGACAGUGUCUGGUGGGUAGUUUGACUGGGGCGGUCUCCUCCUAAAGAGUAACGGAGGAGCACGAAGGUUGGCUAAUCCUGGUCGGACAUCAGGAGGUUAGUGCAAUGGCAUAAGCCAGCUUGACUGCGAGCGUGACGGCGCGAGCAGGUGCGAAAGCAGGUCAUAGUGAUCCGGUGGUUCUGAAUGGAAGGGCCAUCGCUCAACGGAUAAAAGGUACUCCGGGGAUAACAGGCUGAUACCGCCCAAGAGUUCAUAUCGACGGCGGUGUUUGGCACCUCGAUGUCGGCUCAUCACAUCCUGGGGCUGAAGUAGGUCCCAAGGGUAUGGCUGUUCGCCAUUUAAAGUGGUACGCGAGCUGGGUUUAGAACGUCGUGAGACAGUUCGGUCCCUAUCUGCCGUGGGCGCUGGAAGAUUGAGGGGGGCUGCUCCUAGUACGAGAGGACCGGAGUGGACGCAUCACUGGUGUUCGGGUUGUCAUGCCAAUGGCACUGCCCGGUAGCUACAUGCGGAAGAGAUAAGUGCUGAAAGCAUCUAAGCACGAAACUUGCCCCGAGAUGAAUCUUCCCUGAGCCUUUAAGGCUCCUGAAGGAACGUUGAAGACGACGACGUUGAUAGGCCGGGUGUGUAAGCGCAGCGAUGCGUUGAGCUAACCGGUACUAAUGAACCGUGAGGCUUAACCUU
Molecule: ribosomal RNA, 1704 nt
Filed under: Salmonella enterica
Lineage: Bacteria; Pseudomonadati; Pseudomonadota; Gammaproteobacteria; Enterobacterales; Enterobacteriaceae
Description: partial 23S ribosomal RNA
Rfam family: Bacterial large subunit ribosomal RNA
Source: RNAcentral